GACGGCAGCGUCCUGGGAGAGGAAUCCUCGCUUGCUGCUUCUUCCCCGGAGGAAUCCCCGACGGGAAAAGCGCGCGAGCCGAGGAACAGCGGGAGAGCUGCGGCAGCCCAGAAACAGCCUGAGAAAAGAGGAAACAGGCAAGUUGAGUCGGAGAAAGUUCUGCCCUCUCGAGCUGCCCUUGGCUGCUCGGCCGACUUCGAGACGCUCCGCUGCGCCCGGAGAGGCCGUAAACUCACAUUUCAAGAGAACAGCCAUGCUCUCGCUUGAGACUUAUUCUCUCCUCGAGAAGAUGGGUAGCUUGUGGGGCUGAAGGGCCGAAUGAGUUGUAGGGCAUUUCGAACCCUAUUUAUUGUAAAAAACUUGCCAACUGGAAUUUCCCACGUGAUGCAAUCUGUGACUUGUGGUUUUUUACUGAUAAUUCUUAAUAUUAAUACCAAUAUUAAUUUCAGUAUUAUUGCAUGUAUAUCCCAUCUUCUUUUUUCUUACAAGGAACCCAAGGCAGUUUACUCCAUUUUAUCCUCACAACUACCCUGUGAGCUAGGUUAGGCUGAGUGACCCAAAGUCACCAAGGGGAGCUUCAUGGAUCAGUAAGGACUGGAACCCAGAUUUUCCAGGCCUGGGUUCAACACUGACCACCACACUCACUCUCCAGCACAUGCACUCCAUGUUGCCAAAGUUCUUACUCCAAAGAGGUUCAUUACUAUGGAUAGCUCAUACUGUGCUGCAAAGAAAUGCUGGAAUGGAUGAGAAGUCCCACUGACAUGGGAGUCACCAGUCUUCCUGUGUCUCCAACAGAAUUGUAUCAUGGGAAGCAAUCUGCAUAUGAGCAGGACAUUUUUUAUUAUUCAUUAUGGCAUGCUAAUGAUUGAUACUUUUUAUUGUCUUGUAUAACUUUUGACAGAAAAUGCUGGGAAAAUCUGCCAAGUCCGGCUCAGCUGCAAAUCCCACUGAGUUGGCCUUGAGCCAUGAAGCUUCUUGAGAACCCUGCUCACAUUACUCGUCCUGGGAAUGCGUUACCUCUUCUCACUCACACUUCAUAUUUAUUUAAAGUUUGAGUCAGGCUAAAGAAAAUUGAAGACACAUGACUCACUUCUUUUAUUCCGGAACAUGGCUAUCUGGUGAGUAGCCGGCACUGUCUUCCUCAGUCUGUAGUUAAUCUUAUGGGUGUAUCUUAUGGCCUCUUGACGUUGUCUGGAGGACCAUAACUGGCUGUCCAGCUGACGUUUCCAUGUCUCACUGCUGUGCUUAUGUGCAAGCGCUGCCUGUAAGUGCAUUGGAUUGCUUCCCUAAUGGCAUUUAAGGAUAUUUAAUCGCAUGAUGGGACUUUUAUGUCGGCUAUUUUUAACAGAUUUAUAAAAUUGUAAAAGUAUUUUGUUUUUCUAUUGUCAUGGAUGUUUUAAUGCUAUUUGUAUUGUGGUUGUGCAGUGUGUUUUUUGAAUAGCUGUGAACUGCCCAGAGAGCUUUGGCUACUGGUUGUGUAGAAAUGAAGUAACUAAGCCGUAUUAAGCCUUCCAUUGAUAUGAAAUAGAUAGGUAAGAAAGUGAAAUGCCAUCAGAGAUAUGAAAUGUCUUGUGAAUUUCUUAAUAAAGUUUAAGUGGGAAGAGGGGGAGAUCUGUGGCUCUGCAGGGAUUGUAGGGUUCCGACUCCCAGCAGCUUCAGCCAUUAUGGCCAAUGAUCAGUAUGGGGAGGACAACAGGGCCCCUGCCACUGCUUUGAUACCCCCUUUAUUUCUGUGGACUGGAGUCCUGGGGCCCCUGAAGAGUGACCCAGGAACACUAGGCUCUUUGGUGUACCACUCACCAACACUGUAGAUGUUUCUAUGACUUUGGCAGGAAGUCUCUAGGAACUGAUCUUUUUCCCUGCCUCUCUUCUGUCCCCCUGCAACCACUGUGAAAGAAUCCAUCUGGGAGAGGUCACCGAGAGAGCUUGGUCAUCUGCAUUGGGCUGUCAGUCUGCAUGCAUCCUGCAGAGAAUGGUCCUGUUUUGAAGACACUUUAUCUAUGAAAAGUUGCCCAGUCAAAGACCAGUUUAAAGAUAGAGGACCAUCAGAAGGGAGAGGUGAGCCUUGAAGAUGACCUUCAACAGCAGCUGGACAGCAGACAUCAAAGGUCACUUGGUCAUAAUCUUCCACACAAUGAUGACCAUCCUAUAUCCAGUUGGUGUCCUUCCAUUGACAGAAUAUUCUUUGGCCCAGUAGAGUCUUCUAUCACUGAACUGGAGCUGAAAUUAUUUUAUCCUGCCAGUGUCCCAGUUUGGCCUCCUGGAGGACUGAGGGGUCUUGGAACAGAACUGGCGGUGUUGGAUGAGGCUCCAGUGAAGAAAUGGAAUCAUCAAAAAUUACCUCCUUCCUCCUCUGAAUGGAAGUCUUCACAGGAUCGGAGAGCCUUCAACCACCAGGGGAACACCAGCUGGAUUUAGCACUGGAUUUACACAGCAAUCCUUGACUUGCUUUAUGCCAACUGAGACACUAUAGCAUUUGCUGGAAGCCCCAGUUUGCUGUUGGAAUGCAAGAUGCAUCACUGCCAUGAGAUUCACCAUCAGAACAUUUGAGAUGUGCCAGUGGAAUGGUUAAUCAGGAGAGCCAGUUGUUAUCAGGAUGAAGAGAAACUUGUGGAAUACAUGCUACCAUGAAUGAAUCCAGUUUGAGGUUCCAAAGAGAGCUUUUGCGUUCAUGAUCUAAUGAGUACAACUAUGCAAAAAUAUGCCAGAAUUUCUUUUCCAAGGAAUUUGUUUUCCAGGACUUUUGGAAGACCUUUUUUGGGUGGUUGUUCUGAGUAAUAAUGUGUUAUUUGAUCUGACAAAUCACUCCUCUGUAAAUUGCUGAAGUUAUGCCAAAGAAGUCCCACAGGUCAAUAUACUUUCUGAAAUGAAUAUAAAAAUGCUGAUUUAUGCAUGUUU
Long non-coding RNA from Varanus komodoensis (Komodo dragon), 2898 nucleotides. RefSeq lists it as uncharacterized. The record is from RefSeq and is a predicted model, not a curated record. NCBI's taxonomy places the organism in Eukaryota, Metazoa, Chordata, Lepidosauria, Squamata, Varanidae. The transcript has 3 exons.